RNAcentral lists this ribosomal RNA (786 nucleotides) under Salmonella enterica. RNAcentral describes it as "partial 23S ribosomal RNA". It matches the Rfam family "Bacterial large subunit ribosomal RNA", at positions 2017 to 2802 of the family's 2925-position model. RNAcentral also lists the same sequence under 1 other name. Lineage: Bacteria; Pseudomonadati; Pseudomonadota; Gammaproteobacteria; Enterobacterales; Enterobacteriaceae. The record is from RNAcentral.
UGUCUCCACCCGAGACUCAGUGAAAUUGAACUCGCUGUGAAGAUGCAGUGUACCCGCGGCAAGACGGAAAGACCCCGUGAACCUUUACUAUAGCUUGACACUGAACAUUGAGCCUUGAUGUGUAGGAUAGGUGGGAGGCUUUGAAGUGUGGACGCCAGUCUGCAUGGAGCCGACCUUGAAAUACCACCCUUUAAUGUUUGAUGUUCUAACGUGGACCCGUUACCCGGGUUGCGGACAGUGUCUGGUGGGUAGUUUGACUGGGGCGGUCUCCUCCUAAAGAGUAACGGAGGAGCACGAAGGUUGGCUAAUCCUGGUCGGACAUCAGGAGGUUAGUGCAAUGGCAUAAGCCAGCUUGACUGCGAGCGUGACGGCGCGAGCAGGUGCGAAAGCAGGUCAUAGUGAUCCGGUGGUUCUGAAUGGAAGGGCCAUCGCUCAACGGAUAAAAGGUACUCCGGGGAUAACAGGCUGAUACCGCCCAAGAGUUCAUAUCGACGGCGGUGUUUGGCACCUCGAUGUCGGCUCAUCACAUCCUGGGGCUGAAGUAGGUCCCAAGGGUAUGGCUGUUCGCCAUUUAAAGUGGUACGCGAGCUGGGUUUAGAACGUCGUGAGACAGUUCGGUCCCUAUCUGCCGUGGGCGCUGGAGAACUGAGGGGGGCUGCUCCUAGUACGAGAGGACCGGAGUGGACGCAUCACUGGUGUUCGGGUUGUCAUGCCAAUGGCACUGCCCGGUAGCUAAAUGCGGAAGAGAUAAGUGCUGAAAGCAUCUAAGCACGAAACUUGCCCCGA